UGGAAAGUAUUAAAUUUAAAAAAGAAAGAACUUUAUUUCAACUCUUCUUUUCAUGCAAUUAAUUUCUUAAUUUCUCCGCCUCUCCAGAUCUGCUUUCUUCCCUCAAGAUUUGAGCUUUCUUUACCCUCUGGUCUUUCUUCUCUCUAGCUCCCUUAUCUCUUUCAGAUCUACCAGUCGAAGGAGAAGACGACAGCGGUGGCGACGGCGCGGAAGACGACAGCGUCAUGUGUGUGCGAAGCCGGCGCCGACUCCCAGCCAGCCGAUAUUCCCAUCUGCGAUCGAUUAGUUCGCCGUUCUUCUGGAGCCAGCUCAGGGACGACGAAGCUGCUACGUUUCCGGAAUCCACCAAUCUGUUGAUUGUAGAUUUCCAGUGAGCCCAGUCGUUAUCGUCGACACGCGAUCUUCGCCGUCGCCGGAAUCCGGUUGUGGGCGCUAGCUGCCGUUUUUGACGAAGAUGCCAUACGUCUGGUUUUCCCUCCUCCAGUAGCCCACCGGACGACGUUGGGGGGGACGAAAGAUAAACAUCAUGAGUUUAGUAACACUUUAAAUAAACACCCGUUGAAGGCUCCUCCCAUCGAUGUUUAGUACAUUGCAAAAUAUGUGCAAAUAUGAAUAGGAGUCAAAAACCAUUUUCUUGACAAUCCCGAACUAGUGACACCAGAACUCUGAUUAGUCGGCACUUGAAUUCUUGUCACAAUAUGAGGAAACGAUGAAGGACAACUCGAGAGAAGACAAACACAAAUUUGUAUGUAUGCUACCCCCGACGGGGGUAUUUUUACUUAUUCAUAAGAAUUAAUGAUUGAAGAAUUUAAUAGAUUUAUAAUUGAUGAUAAAUUACCUUUUAGUCGAUCCGAAAGUACUUGUUUUGAAAGAUUUGUUGAAAAAUCUUUACAACCACACUAUAAAAAAGUACCAAGAAAUACUUUAAAACGUCCUAUCUAUAAAAGUUUUUAUAUGUCAAAAGUUAUGUUAGUUAAUUAUGUUGCAAAUUUUAAUGGUCGUGUCACUUUAACUAGUGAUAUUUAGACCUCCUCAAGGUGAGCUAUAUAUUUGUGUUACUUGUCAUUGGAUAGAUAAUAAUUGGAUACUCCAAAAGAGAAUUAUUGGUUUCGAAUUAAUAGAAGAAUCUCAUACUGCUUUUAAUUUAAAAGAACGAGUAAUAAAUGAUUUGGAUGGGUUUGAAUUAAGAAAUAAAGUUUUUACAAAUUCUUUAGAUAAUGCUUCUUCCAAUACUAGAUUUAUAUAUUUUUUACUUGAAACUUUACCUUUACAUGUUAAUGGUCAAUUAUUGCAUAUUAGAUGUUGUGCUAAUGUUUUAAAUUUAUGCGUUCAAGAAGGA
Long non-coding RNA from Ipomoea nil (Japanese morning glory), 1339 nucleotides. RefSeq lists it as uncharacterized. The record is from RefSeq and is a predicted model, not a curated record. Lineage: Eukaryota; Viridiplantae; Streptophyta; Magnoliopsida; Solanales; Convolvulaceae. The transcript has 3 exons.